UCCUCGAUGGUCUAACGGUCAUGAUUUCCGCUUGUCAAUCCUAAAAGGAGUGCAAGCGCGGGAGACCUGGGUUCGACUCCCAGUCGGGGAG
RNAcentral lists this transfer RNA (91 nucleotides) under Monascus purpureus. It matches the Rfam family "tRNA". Rfam says of the family: Transfer RNA (tRNA) molecules are approximately 80 nucleotides in length. Their secondary structure includes four short double-helical elements and three loops (D, anti-codon, and T loops). Further hydrogen bonds mediate the characteristic L-shaped molecular structure. tRNAs have two regions of fundamental functional importance: the anti-codon, which is responsible for specific mRNA codon recognition, and the 3' end, to which the tRNAs corresponding amino acid is attached (by aminoacyl-tRNA synthetases). tRNAs cope with the degeneracy of the genetic code in two manners: having more than one tRNA (with a specific anti-codon) for a particular amino acid; and 'wobble' base-pairing, i.e. permitting non-standard base-pairing at the 3rd anti-codon position. Lineage: Eukaryota; Fungi; Ascomycota; Eurotiomycetes; Eurotiales; Aspergillaceae. The record is from Rfam by way of RNAcentral.